UUAAUGCCAUUAAUGGCUAAAAUUCACUGAGCAUUGUUGCACUUAAGACUUAAACGUAAGGCCUAAAUACUAAAUAAAAUUAUUACGUUAGCUUAAUUUUCGUGACAGCUUUUCUCUUCUUUUUUGCCAUGCUUAAUUUAAGUCACUUUCAUGUGCUGGUAGCUUAAAAUAAAACUUGUUUAGGAAGUUUAUUUCUUUCUCCCUUUCAUAAUGCUGCAAAUAUGAGUUCACCCAAAAAAAAGGGAAGAUCUGAUUUUUACCAGUAAUAAGACUACAGCAUACUAAAUGACACAAGAUGUUCUUUCUCUAUUACCUCUUACAUUUGACAUAAAAGCAGGAAAAGGUUUAACAGUCUAUGCCUACAACAUAGAUCUCCAGGACUAAAAGUGCAAAAAAUUGCAAUCAGUAUAUCACAAGUGUUAUAACACAAGCAUCUAAUCUGCUUCAGUGGCCAGAACUGGGUGAAUCCUCUCAAACAUUAAUCAGGAACUAGGCAUACCUAAUGAGCAUCAAGCUGAUACAGUAGAUGUACAGAAGAAUUUUUACACAAGGAAGUGAAAAGUGAUGUAAAAGGCAACUAAUACUUCCAUCUUCCAUAGUUAAACAAGAAUCUGCAAAUGAUGAUAAUUGCAAUAAUCUUGAUAUAUUAAUGUUUGGCUUUAUAAUUAUAUGCAAUUGUCAGG
Physella acuta is the source of this 683-nucleotide long non-coding RNA. RefSeq lists it as uncharacterized. NCBI's taxonomy places the organism in Eukaryota, Metazoa, Mollusca, Gastropoda, Physidae. The record is from RefSeq and is a predicted model, not a curated record.